AUGUGCCAAAUGAAAGGGGCCGUCUGUGUUCACGGCCCAUGCGUCAUGGACCCCCGGAGUCGUAGAGGCCGUGAGGGCACUGGAUUACCCGAUGGGAUUGCGGGGAGUGUGUCAGGAAGGCAGCUGGGCAUUGUGCGGCUGGAUCGGAUGGCGCGGAGUUCGGUUGAGGGUGCGGAUGCCCUAAGGAAACGAGGCAUAAUGGUCCAGGGGAAAUAUCUUUUCUUGAACCGAUCACCUGAGGAUCAGAUCCAUGUCUACUCGAUCCAGUUCAGAAUCCUCCUCCGAUGUAUUCGUCGCCGCUCGCCGCUCCUGACCUUCUCCGUCCUCGACCUGCCUGGUGAGAGGAAUAAAUUCAUCGUCCUCGUCCUUCUCCGUCCCCAGCCCCCCAUGCCGUCACCGAAGAAGAAGAAGGUCGGAUCUGCGUCGGCUGAAUCGGCGGCGACGGCGGCGGGCGAUCCCAUCUCUUCGCGCGUACCAUCAUUAAGGUAUGAAUCCGGCUUGGCAUUCUGCUCGUUCUCUUGGCCGUUGCGCCCCUCCACCGUGCAUGCAGUACAACCUCAACCCCACAAGAUCCAGAAAGACAUGGCGUAUGCAAGUGAUGAGAGUAUGUUCGAGUAUCUAAAUGUUGUCAGCAAGAUGUUUGAUAGUGAGGCUUGCUGUUUGAUAGUGAGGCUGAAGGCUAUAAAUUCUACAACAAAUAUGCUCUUGAAAAAGGUUUUAGUUCGUCAAGGGUUUCGCGAAGAGAAGCACAUGAAAAGAAAGAUGGAAGAUAGAAAGAGGAGGCCACGAAGUUUAACUCGUGUUGGGUGUAAUGCUAAAUUGGUCAUUACGAGACAGGAGGAAACUGGUCGGUGGUUUGUCAAGGAUUUCAUCGAUGAGCACAACCAUCCUCUAGCCCCAUGGGAUCUUUCUUGUCUGCUGCAUUCGCACAGACGAAUUAGCGAUGAGCAGAAAGCGGACAUUGCGGACAUGGAAAAAUGUGGGAUCCGCAAAUACCGUAUUAUGGAUAUUUUGUGCUUUCAAUACGGUGGAUUUGAUAAGGUUGGAUGCAUAAAGAGGGACAUUUAUAAUUUCUGCCAUGCUAAUAAGCAGGAGACAAUCAGCGCCGGUGAUGCUAAUACGGUGAUCAUGCACAUGAUGGCGAGGCGAGAGCGAGAUGAAAAUGCUUCGCCGCUUGAGAAACACGCCGCAACAGUUUUCACACCUGGUGUCUUUAAGAUGGUCUUAUGGAGCAUAGAUGCUGUCAGCAAAUGUCAGAUCAGAGAGAUACUAGAUGGAUCAAAAGAUUCCACUUAUGUUGUGUCCAAGCAGGAAAGAAUGGAUAAAAAGUUUGGAGUGCGAAUUGAAGAGCAAGGAGGUUUUUUGCACAGGUUGUUGCUUCCCACUAGGUGGACUAUGAAUGCAAAAUGUGCAUAUGCACCUACCAAAAAAACCCAGAUGUAUGACUAUUCGAUGCUUUUGCAAGCACAACAUCAUGGCAAGCAAUCAAGUUUUGAACAAGCUGACAGCAAGGAGUCAACUAAUGCUCAGCAUAACAGCAUUAGGUUUGGCCCAUUGAUGCCACACUCGGAGAAAGUUGAUAAGGUUCUGGAUCCCGUGCAUGUGCCAGGACGAGGUGCACCGAAGAAAAGGCUGCAUGCAAAGACAAAGAAGUCAAGAUCACAGAAUAUCUGUGGCUAUUGCAAGAAUCCUGGUCACAAUCGACGUAAAUGCGCUAAAUUGCUAGAGAAUAAUUUUUGUGAUGUAUUUCUGCACGCACGCACGGCCGCCAGACGGAUCUCCCGCGCGAUCCCACGGUCUGCAUGGCUCAUGCAUGGCAGGCCGUUUUCGUACGUCGACCCAAACACCGGCCCAUUCGAGGUUGCAGCUCCGGACGGCCCACGUCGCCGGGGCCCAGUAGGGUGUGCUUGGAAAUAUUUGAGAAACCUCCAUGCACAUUCAUCUUCGCUGCAUGCAAAUCGGGUGGCAGCCGCUGUGCCAGCAGCUGUCAAGACCUUGAUGAAUCACUAUUCACAUCCUCACCCACUGGGUCGCUGGAUGGACCGUUGGGCCAUCUCGUUGUCUGCACCUGAGGCCUGCAUGCAUGGGAAGGGCGGUGACGUGGGUUUGCAUGCGCGGGUGGCGGACGUGCAUGCAUGCGAGCGAGGCGAUUAA
This 2154-nucleotide ribosomal RNA is filed under the name Triticum aestivum (bread wheat). RNAcentral describes it as "partial small subunit ribosomal RNA". Lineage: Eukaryota; Viridiplantae; Streptophyta; Magnoliopsida; Poales; Poaceae. The record is from RNAcentral.